UUUUAUGUGUUUGUCUCUCUUUUUGAAUAACAACUAUUUUAAAUUAAAUACAAAAGAGGAGUAGUCAUACUAGUAUCGGAUAACACAUGCACUAUCUUGCCACUACAAAUGACACAUGCAUGUGUCUAAUAGGAGCAUGUAUCAUAUGCAGUAUCUAUUUAUUUGUUUCUGCAUAUCAUAUGCAGUAUCUAUUUAUUUGUUUCUGCAUUCUUUAAAUACUGCAUCCCUUCAUCAUUUUACACGUAUCUUUUAAUUAUCCUGUCCCAUUUUUCUUCAAAAUAUUUUUAUAUAUGUGUUCACAAGAGAAAUGUCGAUUUAAUUUAUUUGGAAGUAAAGCCUCUGAUGAAGAUCUAAUUCUGGAAUACAGAAACGUUCAAGCAUCUUAAUAGAAGUUUGAUCCGUUGGUUAAAUGAAGAUAGUGUAGAGGGUGAAAAUAUCAGAAGAAUUCAAAGGCUCGUAACAUGUUCAACGACAAUGGAGAAAGUCGCUUCUGGGACAAUGUUAAAACUGACAGAGAUGUUUGCAUUAUGAUGCACAGUUCCAAGGAAAUUGUCAUGAUGGUUGUAAUCACAUAGUUACGUUUUUUAGUCCUUAUAUUUGUUUGUCUUAUUGUUUAAUUGUUGUUUAAAUUAUUGUUUAGUUGUUGUUUAAAUUGUUGUAAUUGAAUGUUAUGUUAUUUAUGAAAUGAACGUUGUUUUCAAUAUAAAGUAAAAUGGUUACAUAUAAGUUUAAGUUGUUGUGCUUGGUCCAAC
This 752-nucleotide long non-coding RNA is filed under the name Lathyrus oleraceus (garden pea). RNAcentral describes it as "Pisum sativum (pea) long non-coding RNA (PSAT_LNC026123)". Lineage: Eukaryota; Viridiplantae; Streptophyta; Magnoliopsida; Fabales; Fabaceae. The record is from RNAcentral.